CCUACGGGUGGCAGCAGUGAGGAAUAUUGGUCAAUGGGCGGAAGCCUGAACCAGCCAAGUAGCGUGCGGGAUGAAGGCCCUACGGGUCGUAAACCGCUGUUGCACGGGGAUAACACCCGCCACUUGUGGAGGUCUGCAGGUACCGUGCGAAUAAGGGCCGGCGAAUUCCGGGCCAGCAGCCGCGGUAAUACGGAAGGCCCGAGCGUUAUCCGGAUUCAUGGGGCUUAAAGGGAGCGUCGGCGGGCGUGCAAGUCAGCUGGAAACUCGCGCGGCUCAACCGCGCCCCGCAGUUGAAACUGGCCGCCUUGCGUUCACAACAGGCAGGCGGAAUUCGUGGUGUAGCGGU
RNAcentral lists this ribosomal RNA (346 nucleotides) under uncultured bacterium. RNAcentral's name for it is "partial 16S ribosomal RNA". It matches the Rfam family "Bacterial small subunit ribosomal RNA", at positions 338 to 682 of the family's 1533-position model. The record is from RNAcentral.